GAUGAACGCUGGCGGCGUGCCUAAUACAUGCAAGUCGAGCGAACAGACGAGGAGCUUGCUCCUCUGACGUUAGCGGCGGACGGGUGAGUAACACGUGGAUAACCUACCUAUAAGACUGGGAUAACUUCGGGAAACCGGAGCUAAUACCGGAUAAUAUAUUGAACCGCAUUGUUCAAUAGUGAAAGACGGUUUUGCUGUCACUUAUAGAUGGAUCCGCGCCGCAUUAGCUAGUUGGUAAGGUAACGGCUUACCAAGGCAACGAUGCGUAACCGACCUGAGAGGGUGAUCGGCCACACUGGAACUGAGACACGGUCCAGACUCCUACGGGAGGCAGCAGUAGGGAAUCUUCCGCAAUGGGCGAAAGCUUGACGGAGCAACGCCGCGUGAGUGAUGAAGGUCUUCGGAUCGUAAAACUCUGUUAUUAGGGAAGAACAAAUGUGUAAGUAACUAUGCACGUCUUGACGGUACCUAAUCAGAAAGCCACGGCUAACUACGUG
Molecule: ribosomal RNA, 497 nt
Filed under: uncultured bacterium
Lineage: Bacteria
Description: partial 16S ribosomal RNA
Rfam family: Bacterial small subunit ribosomal RNA
Source: RNAcentral